GAUGAACGCUGGCGGCGUGCCUAACACAUGCAAGUCGAACGGGCCAUGGGUAACUAUGGCUAGUGGCGGACGGGUGCGUAACACGUAGGUGACCUGCCCUGAAGUGGGGAAUAAUUCCGCGAAAGCGGGACUAAUACCGCAUAUGCUGACCGGUUCGCUCUGGUCAGUAAAGUCGCAAGACGCUUCAGGAUGGGCCUGCGGCGGAUUAGCUGGUUGGUGGGGUAACGGCCUACCAAGGCGAUGAUCCGUAGGGGGCGUGAGAGCGUGACCCCCCACAUUGGCACUGAGACACGGGCCAAACUCCUACGGGAGGCAGCAGUGAGGAAUAUUGCACAAUGGGCGACAGCCUGAUGCAGCAACGCCGCGUGAGGGACGAAGGCCUUCGGGUCGUAAACCUCUUUUCUGAGGGACGAGACAGGACGGUACCUCAGGAAUAAGUCUCGGCUAACUACGUGCCAGCAGCCGCGGUAAAACGUAGGAGGCGAGCGUUAUCCGGAUUUACUGGGCGUAAAGCGCACGCAGGCGGCGCCGUGAGUCGGACGUGAAAGCUCCUGGCUUAACUGGGAGAGGCCGUUCGAUACUGCGGGGCUUGAGGUUGGGAGAGGGGUGCGGAAUUCCUGGUGUAGAAGUGAAAUUCGUAGAUAUCAGGAGGAAUACCUGAGGCGAAGGCGCCUGCCUGGCUAUGCAUUGACGCNGAGGUGCGAAAGCGUGGGGAGCAAACAGGAUUAGAUACCCUGGUAGNCNACGCCAUAAACGAUGGAUACUAGGUGUUCGGAGCGUUAACCCUCUGAGUACCGAAGCUUACGCAUUAAGUAUCCCGCCUGGGGAGUACGGUCGCAAGGCUAAAACUCAAAGGAAUUGACGGGGGACCGCACAAGCGGUGGAGUAUGUGGUUCAAUUCGACGCAACGCGAAGAACCUUACCUGGGUUUGAAGUCUCUUGAUAACCUCAGAGAUGAGGCUUUCCCUUCGGGGACAAGAUGAUAGGUGCUGCAUGGCUGUCGUCAGCUCGUGUCGUAAGAUGUUGGGUUAAGUCCCGCAACGAGCGCAACCCCUGUUCCUAGUUACCAUCAUUAAGUUGGGGACUCUAGGAAGACUGCCGGUGUUAAACCGGAGGAAGGCGGGGAUGACGUCAAGUCCUCAUGGCCCUUAUGUCCAGGGCAACACACGUACUACAAUGGCAGAGACAAAGCGACGCAAAACCGCGAGGUGGAGCCAAUCGCAAAAACACUGUCCAAGUCCGGAUUGGAGUCUGCAACUCGACUCCAUGAAGCUGGAAUCGCUAGUAAUCGCAGAUCAGAACGCUGCGGUGAAUACGUUCCCGGGCCU
This 1328-nucleotide ribosomal RNA is filed under the name uncultured soil bacterium. Its description in RNAcentral is "16S ribosomal RNA". It matches the Rfam family "Bacterial small subunit ribosomal RNA", at positions 28 to 1381 of the family's 1533-position model. The record is from RNAcentral.